CCUACGGGAGGCAGCAGUAGGGAAUCUUCCACAAUGGGCGCAAGCCUGAUGGAGCAACACCGCGUGAGUGAAGAAGGGUUUCGGCUCGUAAAGCUCUGUUGUUGGAGAAGAACGUGCGUGCGAGUAACUGUUCACGCAGUGACGGUAUCCAACCAGAAAGUCACGGCUAACUACGUGCCAGCAGCCGCGGUAAUACGUAGGUGGCAAGCGUUAUCCGGAUUUAUUGGGCGUAAAGCGAGCGCAGGCGGUUGCUUAGGUCUGAUGUGAAAGCCUUCGGCUUAACCGAAGAAGUGCAUCGGAAAACGGGCAACUUGAGUGCAGAAGAGGACAGUGGAACUCCAUGUGUAGCGGUGGAAUGCGUAGAUAUAUGGAAGAACACCAGUGGCGAAGGCGGCUGUCUGGUCUGCAACUGACGCUGAGGCUCGAAAGCAUGGGUAGCAAACAGGAUUAGAUACCCUUGUAGUC
This 465-nucleotide ribosomal RNA is filed under the name uncultured bacterium. RNAcentral's name for it is "partial 16S ribosomal RNA". It matches the Rfam family "Bacterial small subunit ribosomal RNA", at positions 338 to 795 of the family's 1533-position model. The record is from RNAcentral.